GAUGAAGAACGUAGCGAAAUGCGAUAAGUAAUGUGAAUUGCAGAAUUCAGUGAAUCAUCGAAUCUUUGAACGCACAUUGCGCCCGCCAGUAUUCUGGCGGGCAUGCCUGUUCGAGCGUCAUUUCAACCAUCAAGCCCCCGGCUUGUGUUGGGGACCUGCGGCUGCCGCAGGCCCUGAAAAGCAGUGGCGGGCUCGCUGUCACACCGAGCGCAGUAGCAUACAUCUCGCUCUGGGCGUGCUGCGGGUUCCGGCCGUUAAACCACCUUCAUAACCCAAGGUUGACCUCGGAUCAGGUAGGAAGACCCGCUGAACUUAAGCAUAUCAAUAAGCGGAGGA
Molecule: unclassified non-coding RNA, 336 nt
Filed under: soil metagenome
Description: partial contains 5.8S ribosomal RNA, internal transcribed spacer 2, and large subunit ribosomal RNA
Rfam family: 5.8S ribosomal RNA (bases 1-120)
Source: RNAcentral